GUGGCUCGCCCUGCCCCUGGGCUGCACUGGCUGGAGGUGGGUGCAGCCCUGGGCAGCCACACACAGUGACACGCAGUGACAGUGGCUGCUGCCGACAGGCCCUGCAGAGCCAUCAGGCGUCCUGUGCGAUGCUCCCACACAUU
Molecule: non-coding RNA, 143 nt
Organism: Myiozetetes cayanensis
Lineage: Eukaryota; Metazoa; Chordata; Aves; Passeriformes; Tyrannidae
Source: RefSeq, a predicted model, not a curated record